RNAcentral lists this ribosomal RNA (733 nucleotides) under Enterococcus mundtii. RNAcentral describes it as "bacterial SSU rRNA". It matches the Rfam family "Bacterial small subunit ribosomal RNA", at positions 45 to 753 of the family's 1533-position model. The record is from RNAcentral. Lineage: Bacteria; Bacillati; Bacillota; Bacilli; Lactobacillales; Enterococcaceae.
UGUCUAUAAUGCAGUCGACGCUUCUUUUCCCACCGGAGCUUGCUCCACCGGGAAAAGAGGAGUGGCGAACGGGUGAGUAACACGUGGGUAACCUGCCCAUCAGAAGGGGAUAACACUUGGAAACAGGUGCUAAUACCGUAUAACAAUCGAAACCGCAUGGUUUCGUUUUGAAAGGCGCUUUACGGUGCCGCUGAUGGAUGGACCCGCGGUGCAUUAGCUAGUUGGUGAGGUAACGGCUCACCAAGGCCACGAUGCAUAGCCGACCUGAGAGGGUGAUCGGCCACAUUGGGACUGAGACACGGCCCAAACUCCUACGGGAGGCAGCAGUAGGGAAUCUUCGGCAAUGGACGAAAGUCUGACCGAGCAACGCCGCGUGAGUGAAGAAGGUUUUCGGAUCGUAAAACUCUGUUGUUAGAGAAGAACAAGGGUGAGAGUAACUGUUCACCCCUUGACGGUAUCUAACCAGAAAGCCACGGCUAACUACGUGCCAGCAGCCGCGGUAAUACGUAGGUGGCAAGCGUUGUCCGGAUUUAUUGGGCGUAAAGCGAGCGCAGGCGGUUUCUUAAGUCUGAUGUGAAAGCCCCCGGCUCAACCGGGGAGGGUCAUUGGAAACUGGGAGACUUGAGUGCAGAAGAGGAGAGUGGAAUUCCAUGUGUAGCGGUGAAAUGCGUAGAUAUAUGGAGGAACACCAGUGGCGAAGGCGGCUCUCUGGUCUGUAACUGACGCUGAGGCU